Dermacentor albipictus is the source of this 587-nucleotide long non-coding RNA. RefSeq lists it as uncharacterized. The record is from RefSeq and is a predicted model, not a curated record. NCBI's taxonomy places the organism in Eukaryota, Metazoa, Arthropoda, Arachnida, Ixodida, Ixodidae.
GUGCUGGAAACACUGGGAGGCAGGAAGUUUGAAAAAAACGGCCACUCCCGCCCGCAAUGUCUCGGUCGUGGGUUCGUUAUGCCAGUUGUUCAAGCCGUUCUGUACAUUUAUACUGGAUAUUAACUGGAGUCAUUUAGCUGUGCUGAUGCUGUUUGCCGUGUGUUUUGCAUCAGUGCUUCGUGACAUCGGCUGUAUUGCGUGUUUUCGCCGACGGCUUACUACCACAAUGGCGGGAUCUGCGUUCGCCGCCUUCGUGUCUCGGUGCGUCUUUGUACGUCGCACGUUCGGAUAACACUUUUUCCGACGGCUGGACAUCCUUCUUGUACCUUGGCGCUAGCUGGAUGACGGGACCUCAUCAUGAUCAGUGUAUUGCUUUCCUAUGUCUACAAGAACCGUCACGGGUGGCCUGUGACGGCAAGCUUUUGGGGGCAGCCAGUGCUCUCCUACGAAGGCUGGCCUACUCUGGCAGCGGCGGCAAUCAUCUUCAAGAUUUAUCGAUGAUCACCUUUGCUGCUAUUUGUCACUCUUCUUAAUUACACUUUCUGCAUCUUUUCUAAUCUAUUAGGUAAUAAAGUAUGAGUAUGUGA